UACGGGGGGGGCAAGCGUUGUUCGGAAUUACUGGGCGUAAAGGGCUCGUAGGCGGCCAACUAAGUCAGACGUGAAAUCCCUCGGCUUAACCGGGGAACUGCGUCUGAUACUGGAUGGCUAGAGGUUGGGAGAGGGAUGCGGAAUUCCAGGUGUAGCGGUGAAAUGCGUAGAUAUCGGGAGGAACACCAGUGGCGAAGGCGACUACCUGGCCUGUUCUUGACGCUGAGGCGCGAAAGCUAGGGGAGCAAACGGG
This 253-nucleotide ribosomal RNA is filed under the name uncultured bacterium. Its description in RNAcentral is "partial 16S ribosomal RNA". It matches the Rfam family "Bacterial small subunit ribosomal RNA", at positions 524 to 776 of the family's 1533-position model. The record is from RNAcentral.